Molecule: ribosomal RNA, 580 nt
Filed under: Plectosphaerella cucumerina
Lineage: Eukaryota; Fungi; Ascomycota; Sordariomycetes; Glomerellales; Plectosphaerellaceae
Description: eukaryotic LSU rRNA
Rfam family: Eukaryotic large subunit ribosomal RNA
Source: RNAcentral
AGGGAUUGCCUCAGUAACGGCGAGUGAAGCGGCAACAGCUCAAAUUUGAAAUCUGGCUCCUUCGGGGCCCGAGUUGUAAUUUGCAGAGGAUGCGUCGGGUACGGGUGCCUUCCGAGUUCCCUGGAACGGGACGCCAUAGAGGGUGAGAGCCCCGUCUGGUAGGAUACCCAGCCCGUGUGACGCUCCCUCGACGAGUCGAGUAGUUUGGGAAUGCUGCUCUAACGGGAGGUAUACUCCUUCCAAGGCUAAAUACCGGCUGGAGACCGAUAGCGCACAAGUAGAGUGAUCGAAAGAUGAAAAGCACUUUGAAAAGAGAGUCAAACAGCACGUGAAAUUGUUAAAAGGGAAGCGCUCGCUACCAGACUUGGGUUCGGCGGUUCAACCGGGGCCACGCCCCGGGGCAUUCCGCCGGCCCAGGCCAGCAUCAGCUUUCCGUCGGGGGUAAAGGCGUCGGGAAUGUGGCUCCCCUUCGGGGGAGUGUUAUAGCCCGUCGUGUCAUACCCUUCGGGGGGCUGAGGUACGCGCUUCUGCAAGGAUGCUGGCGUAAUGGUAGCUAGUGACCCGUCUUGAAAACGACAAA